AGAGGUGAUCUGGCUGCAACAUCUGUCACCCCAUUGAUUGCCAGGGUUGAUUCAGUGAUCUGACUGUCUAGGUGGGUGUCCCCUUCCUCCCUUACCCCUCCAUGUACAUGUGAAGUGGCACACUGACCUUUCCCAACAGAGAGGACCAUCGUUCAGUCAAGGGUGUCGCACUAGCUUCACUGCCCUGUUAGGACCUCCAAGCAAGCUCUUGAAAGACAGCCUUCGGAAAGAUUCCAACAGGUUUUCUGUUUGAAUACUGGUGCUUAGUUUAUCCUUCAUU
This 280-nucleotide small nuclear RNA is filed under the name Otolemur garnettii (small-eared galago). RNAcentral's name for it is "7SK RNA". It matches the Rfam family "7SK RNA". From Rfam's summary of the family: 7SK was discovered as an abundant small nuclear RNA in the mid-70s but a possible function has only recently been suggested. Two independent studies have found that 7SK RNA binds the CDK9/cyclin T complex (known as elongation factor P-TEFb). The record is from Rfam by way of RNAcentral. Lineage: Eukaryota; Metazoa; Chordata; Mammalia; Primates; Galagidae.